GGGAGAGGAAGGAAUGCUCACCGUCCAGCUCAAAGCAGAUGCAGGGCUGCGGUGUUUGUGCUGUGCUUCACCCACACAUGAGCAGCAGCACAGGAACUGCCAGCACCGUGGCUAUCAAAGACAUUGUGGACCACCACUCCUGAAGGACUGCCAAAGUGAAACAAUGCCAUGUUUACAUUAAUUUUAGUGAAAAGACCUCAUCUGUGCAGCCCUCUUUUAAGACAUCUUUCAAUAUCUACCUUGGGGCUCUUCUUGGUCCAGCUGCAUCUUUUAAACUACUGCUGAGGACAUGACUGACAUUUCUACUGCUCACAGGAAUAAAAGCCCAACUGCUUUCUGAGGUAGUCACUG
Long non-coding RNA from Oxyura jamaicensis (ruddy duck), 351 nucleotides. RefSeq lists it as uncharacterized. NCBI's taxonomy places the organism in Eukaryota, Metazoa, Chordata, Aves, Anseriformes, Anatidae. The transcript is spliced from 2 exons. The record is from RefSeq and is a predicted model, not a curated record.